Molecule: ribosomal RNA, 677 nt
Filed under: uncultured Curvibacter sp.
Lineage: Bacteria; Pseudomonadati; Pseudomonadota; Betaproteobacteria; Burkholderiales; Comamonadaceae
Description: bacterial SSU rRNA
Rfam family: Bacterial small subunit ribosomal RNA
Source: RNAcentral
AGUGGCGAACGGGUGAGUAAAGUAUCGGAACGUGCCCAGUCGUGGGGGAUAACGUAGCGAAAGUUACGCUAAUACCGCAUACGAUCUAUGGAUGAAAGCGGGGGAUCGCAAGACCUCGCGCGAUUGGAGCGGCCGAUAUCAGAUUAGGUAGUUGGUGGGGUAAAGGCUCACCAAGCCGACGAUCUGUAGCUGGUCUGAGAGGACGACCAGCCACACUGGGACUGAGACACGGCCCAGACUCCUACGGGAGGCAGCAGUGGGGAAUUUUGGACAAUGGGCGCAAGCCUGAUCCAGCCAUGCCGCGUGCAGGAUGAAGGCCUUCGGGUUGUAAACUGCUUUUGUACGGAACGAAAAGGUUUGGCCUAAUAAGCUGAGCUCAUGACGGUACCGUAAGAAUAAGCACCGGCUAACUACGUGCCAGCAGCCGCGGUAAUACGUAGGGUGCGAGCGUUAAUCGGAAUUACUGGGCGUAAAGCGUGCGCAGGCGGUUAUGUAAGACAGAUGUGAAAUCCCCGGGCUCAACCUGGGAACUGCAUUAGUGACUGCAUAGCUGGAGUACGGCAGAGGGGGGAUGGAAUUCCGCGUGUAGCAGUGAAAUGCGUAGAUAUGCGGAGGAACACCGAUGGCGAAGGCAAUCCCCUGGGCCUGUACUGACGCUCAUGCACGAAAGCGUGGGG